GCGGGCGUGGCGAAAUUGGCAGACGCACCAGACUUAGGAUCUGGCGCCGCAAGGCAUGUAGGUUCGACCCCUAUCGCCCGCA
RNAcentral lists this transfer RNA (82 nucleotides) under Puia sp. RNAcentral's name for it is "tRNA-Leu". It matches the Rfam family "tRNA". From Rfam's summary of the family: Transfer RNA (tRNA) molecules are approximately 80 nucleotides in length. Their secondary structure includes four short double-helical elements and three loops (D, anti-codon, and T loops). Further hydrogen bonds mediate the characteristic L-shaped molecular structure. tRNAs have two regions of fundamental functional importance: the anti-codon, which is responsible for specific mRNA codon recognition, and the 3' end, to which the tRNAs corresponding amino acid is attached (by aminoacyl-tRNA synthetases). tRNAs cope with the degeneracy of the genetic code in two manners: having more than one tRNA (with a specific anti-codon) for a particular amino acid; and 'wobble' base-pairing, i.e. permitting non-standard base-pairing at the 3rd anti-codon position. Lineage: Bacteria; Pseudomonadati; Bacteroidota; Chitinophagia; Chitinophagales; Chitinophagaceae. RNAcentral also lists the same sequence under 1 other name. The record is from RNAcentral.